This is a long non-coding RNA of Leptidea sinapis, 686 nucleotides long. RefSeq lists it as uncharacterized. The transcript has 4 exons. The record is from RefSeq and is a predicted model, not a curated record. NCBI's taxonomy places the organism in Eukaryota, Metazoa, Arthropoda, Insecta, Lepidoptera, Pieridae.
ACAACUUCUAACAUUAGUAUAGUACAUUUUUCUAUGCUGCUCAAAUAUGAGCGUGUACUACUUUUUCUUGCUUUGUGUUAUAUUUGUGGUACAUCCAAAUCAUGUUAUUUGUAGCCAAACAUACAAUGACACAGAAUGCCCAAAAAUUACCCCUGGAUCGGCAUCUUCCACCUUCACUGCUGCACUGAAGUAUUUUGCAGGAGAGCAAUGCAAUGUUUACAGUGAUGUCCAUCCCAAGUCAGAAGUUAAUGAUCAUGAAGAAUUCGAUUUUAUAAUUGUUGGCGCUGGAACUGCUGGGUGUAUUGUAGCAAGACGUCUUGUAGAUCAAAAUUUCAAUGUUUUACUUCUUGAAGCUGGUUCAGACCCACCUGUCGAAGCAAAGAUUCCUAAUUUGGUCACCUCAAUUUAUAAGACGAAAUAUGACUGGCAGUAUUCAACUGUUAACAAUGGUCGAACAAGUCAAGCACUGAUUAAUGGAAAUACGUACUGGCCUCGUGGAAAAAUGCUUGGUGGUAGUCACCAACUAAAUAUGAUGUUCUACUACAAAGGAGCAGCACAUGACUAUAAGUCUUGGGAAGAACUCGGUAAUAAUGAAUGGAGCGAACAAAACAUUAAAAAAUUUUUCAAGAAAGCAGAGAGCUUACAAAGUCAAAAAUUACUAAAUAAUAAUGAAAUAUAAAAUUUCU